AUAAAAUUCGGACCGUCGGUCUACCGAGCAAUUUCACCAGGUCGGUGGAAGAUCUUCCAUCACAU
This 65-nucleotide microRNA precursor is filed under the name Bombyx mori (domestic silkworm). Its description in RNAcentral is "mir-2774 microRNA precursor family". It matches the Rfam family "mir-2774 microRNA precursor family". The record is from Rfam by way of RNAcentral. Lineage: Eukaryota; Metazoa; Arthropoda; Insecta; Lepidoptera; Bombycidae.